This 706-nucleotide ribosomal RNA is filed under the name uncultured bacterium. RNAcentral's name for it is "bacterial SSU rRNA". It matches the Rfam family "Bacterial small subunit ribosomal RNA", at positions 8 to 717 of the family's 1533-position model. The record is from RNAcentral.
AGAGUUUGAUCAUGGCUCAGGACGAACACUGGCGGCGUGCUUAACACAUGCAAGUCGAGCGGUAAGGCCCUUCGGGGUACACGAGCGGCGAACGGGUGAGUAACACGUGAGCAACCUGCCCCUGACUCCGGGAUAAGCGGUGGAAACGCCGUCUAAUACCGGAUACGACCCUCCUCCGCAUGGUGGGGGGUGGAAAGUUUUUUCGGUCGGGGAUGGGCUCGCGGCCUAUCAGCUUGUUGGUGGGGUAACGGCCUACCAAGGCGAUUACGGGUAGCCGGCCUGAGAGGGCGACCGGCCACACUGGGACUGAGACACGGCCCAGACUCCUGCGGGAGGCAGCAGUGGGGAAUAUUGCGCAAUGGGCGAAAGCCUGACGCAGCGACGCCGCGUGGGGGAUGACGGCCUUCGGGUUGUAAACCUCUUUUACCACUCACGCAGGCCCCGGGUUCUCCCGGGGUUGACGGUAGGUGGGGAAUAAGGACCGGCUAACUACGUGCCAGCAGCCGCGGUAAUACGUAGGGUCCGAGCGUUGUCCGGAAUUAUUGGGCGUAAAGAGCUCGUAGGCGGCGUGUCGCGUCUGCUGUGAAAGACCGGGGCUUAACCCCGGUUCUGCAGUGGAUACGGGCAUGCUAGAGGUAGGUAGGGGAGACUGGAAUUCCUGGUGUAGCGGUGAAAUGCGCAGAUAUCAGGAGGAACACCGGUGGCG